GACAGAGGGUGCGAGCGUUAAUCGGAAUUACUGGGCGUAAAGCGUGCGUAGACGGUUAUUUAAGUCGGGUGUGAAAGCCCCGGGCUCAACCUGGGAAUUGCAUUCGAGACUGAAUAGCUAGGGUACGGUAGAGGGAAGCGGAAUUUCCGGUGUAGCGGUGAAAUGCGUAGAUAUCGGAAGGAACAUCAGUGGCGAAAGCGGCUUCCUGGACCAGUACCGACGUUCAGGCACGAAAGCGUGGGGAGCAAACAGG
RNAcentral lists this ribosomal RNA (253 nucleotides) under uncultured bacterium. RNAcentral's name for it is "partial 16S ribosomal RNA". It matches the Rfam family "Bacterial small subunit ribosomal RNA", at positions 524 to 776 of the family's 1533-position model. The record is from RNAcentral.